This 1751-nucleotide ribosomal RNA is filed under the name human gut metagenome. RNAcentral's name for it is "bacterial LSU rRNA". It matches the Rfam family "Bacterial large subunit ribosomal RNA", at positions 1080 to 2841 of the family's 2925-position model. The record is from RNAcentral.
AUUUCUAAGACAACUAGGAUGUUGGCUUAGAAGCAGCCACUCAUUUAAAGAGUGCGUAAUAGCUCACUAGUCGAGAGAUCCUGCGCCGAAAAUGUACCGGGGCUAAACUUACCACCGAAGCUACGGAUUUGCAAGUAAUUGCAAGUGGUAGGGGAGCGUCGUAAUCGGGCUGAAGUCGUACCGGAAGGAGCGGUGGACUGAUUACGAGUGAGAAUGUUGGCAUUAGUAGCGAGAUGUAGGUGAGAAUCCUACAGGCCGAAUAUCUAAGGUUUCCUCAGGAAGGCUCGUCCGCUGAGGGUUAGUCGGGACCUAAGCCGAGGCCGAAAGGCGUAGGCGAUGGACAAUCGGUUGAUAUUCCGAUACCACUACCAUCGUUAUUAUCGAGGGUGUGACGGAGAAGGAUAGUGUGUGCUAGCGAUUGGAAAUGCUAGUCUAAGCGUUUAGGGAGUUACGGUAGGCAAAUCCGCUGUAACAAUUCUGAGGCGUGAUGGGGAAGGUCAUUAAGACCGAAGUACAUGAUUCCAUGCUUCCAAGAAAAGCAUCUAGAGAGAGAAGUAGUGCCCGUACCGCAAACCGACACAGGUAGAUGAGGAGAGAAUCCUAAGGCCGGCGGAAGAAUUGCAGUUAAGGAACUAGGCAAAUUGACCCCGUAAGUUCGCGAGAAGGGGUGCCUGCGAGAGCAGGCCGCAGAGAAUAGGCCCAAGCAACUGUUUAGCAAAAACACAGGUCUCUGCUAAAGCGUAAGCUGAUGUAUAGGGGCUGACGCCUGCCCGGUGCUGGAAGGUUAAGGGGAACACUUAGCGCAAGCGAAGGUGUGAACUUAAGCCCCAGUAAACGGCGGCCGUAACUAUAACGGUCCUAAGGUAGCGAAAUUCCUUGUCAGGUAAGUUCUGACCCGCACGAAUGGCGUAAUGACUUGGGCACUGUCUCAACUGCAAAUCCGGCGAAGUUGUAGUGCGAGUGAAGAUGCUCGCUACCCGCGAUUGGACGGAAAGACCCCGUAGAGCUUUACUGUAGCUUAGCAUUGAAUUCCGGUAUUGUCUGUACAGGAUAGGUGGGAGACUGGGAAACUAGGGCGUCAGCCUUAGUGGAGUCAACCUUGGGAUACCACCCUGACAGUACUGGGGUUCUAACAGGACGCCAUGAAGCUGGUGACUGGACAUUGUUAGGUGGGCAGUUUGACUGGGGCGGUCGCCUCCUAAAAAGUAACGGAGGCGCCCAAAGGUUCCCUCAGAACGGUCGGAAAUCGUUCGUAGAGUGCAAAGGCAGAAGGGAGCCUGACUGCGAGACCUACAAGUCGAGCAGGGACGAAAGUCGGGCUUAGUGAUCCGGUGGUACCUCGUGGGAGGGCCAUCGCUCAACGGAUAAAAGCUACCUCGGGGAUAACAGGCUGAUCUCCCCCAAGAGUCCACAUCGACGGGGAGGUUUGGCACCUCGAUGUCGGCUCGUCGCAUCCUGGGGCUGUAGUAGGUCCCAAGGGUUGGGCUGUUCGCCCAUUAAAGCGGCACGCGAGCUGGGUUCAGAACGUCGUGAGACAGUUCGGUCCCUAUCCGUCGCGGGCGUAGGAAAUUUGAGAGGAGCUGUCCUUAGUACGAGAGGACCGGGAUGGACUGACCUCUGGUGCACCAGUUGUUCUGCCAAGAGCAUGGCUGGGUAGCUAAGUCGGGAAGGGAUAAACGCUGAAAGCAUCUAAGCGUGAAGCCCCCCUCAAGAUGAGAUUUCCCAUAGCAUAAGCUAGUAAGACCCCUUGA